Molecule: non-coding RNA, 65 nt
Organism: Dipodomys ordii (Ord's kangaroo rat)
Lineage: Eukaryota; Metazoa; Chordata; Mammalia; Rodentia; Heteromyidae
Source: Rfam
GGUGGCUCAGUGGUAGAGCGCUUGCCUUGCAAGUCAGAGGCCCUGGGUUCGAUUCCUCGGCACCA